AGAGUUUGAUCCUGGCUCAGGACGAACGCUGGCGGCGUGCCUAAUACAUGCAAGUUGAACGCUUGAUUUUCACCGAAGCUUGCUUCACCGAAAAUCAAGAGUAGCGAACGGGUGAGUAACGCGUGGGUAACCUACCUAUCAGCGGGGGAUAACUAUUGGAAACGAUAGCUAAUACCGCAUAACAAUGUUGGAUGCAUAUUCGACAUUUGAAAGUACCAACUGGUACACUGAGAGAUGGACCCGCGUUGUAUUAGCUAGUUGGUAGUGUAAUGGACUACCAAGGCGAUGAUACAUAGCCGACCUGAGAGGUGAUCGGCCACAUUGGGACUGAGACACGGCCCAAACUCCGUACGGGAGCA
RNAcentral lists this ribosomal RNA (359 nucleotides) under uncultured bacterium. RNAcentral describes it as "bacterial SSU rRNA". It matches the Rfam family "Bacterial small subunit ribosomal RNA", at positions 8 to 349 of the family's 1533-position model. The record is from RNAcentral.